GAGUUACGCUCUCGCCGCCUAAGUAGCGACGAGCGCCGACACGGCCCCCUCUCGCCGGGCCGUGAAGGCGUCAUCAGGCGAGAUGCGGCGUUGCCGACUCCGGUGAGUGACGUCAAAGGGCCGAAAGGUCAGCCGGAUAGCGAGCGGAGCACCCCGCCGGUUGGGGGCCCGCAAGCGAAGAUCGAAAUAGGCCGGAAACACCUGUAGCACGUUCCCGGCGACUCGGUUCUGGACGGGGAGUUCGAUUCUCCCCCAUCUCCACCA
This 264-nucleotide transfer-messenger RNA is filed under the name Chloroflexota bacterium. RNAcentral's name for it is "partial transfer-messenger RNA". It matches the Rfam family "transfer-messenger RNA", at positions 105 to 374 of the family's 374-position model. Rfam says of the family: Bacterial tmRNA, also known as 10Sa RNA or SsrA, is named for its dual tRNA and mRNA-like properties. Lineage: Bacteria; Bacillati; Chloroflexota. The record is from RNAcentral.